This 1203-nucleotide long non-coding RNA is filed under the name Nicotiana tabacum (common tobacco). RNAcentral describes it as "long non-coding RNA (NTAB_LNC011385)". Lineage: Eukaryota; Viridiplantae; Streptophyta; Magnoliopsida; Solanales; Solanaceae. The record is from RNAcentral.
AAAGAAAAAACAAGGAUCAGGAAUAUAUAGAGAAGUCUGAAUCACUUUUGAAUUACAACAUAUAACAAUAAUCAUCCAAGUUGGUUAAAGAAAGAAAGAAAGCUCAGUGCACAAAUAUUCAAGUGGUGUCCAAUCCAGUGUUGUGAAAAGCGCGAAGCGAAGUGAAGCGGAAACUUGGUCCCUUAUGUGUGUUGAAGCGUAGCAGGUGUUAGAAGUGACAAUAGCAACAGAAGCGAGAGCUUUAAUGUAUUAAGGCUGCCAACGUUAAAAAUUAAAAAAAGCUCUCUUUUAUCAAAACAAAAACAGCCGAAAACAGGCGACUAGGGUUCCCAUUUUCUGCACUUUUCAAGUUCAAGUUCAUCAAGUUCUCCUCCUCCUCCCUCCUCCUCCUCUUCUUUCACUGUUUGAGUCUCAAAAUAGCAGCGAAAUGCUGCCAAUUUUUUUUUCCCCUUCAGUUCUUUUUCUCAUUCUCUUCUUCUUCUUCUUCUUCUUUUUCUUUCACUGUUUCAUUCUUAAAUUGCAGCAAAAUGCUGCCCCAUUUUUUUCGUUUCAGUUACUGCCAUUUCUUUGCUUACAGUUACAUGUGUUGUCUAUGUAGUAUUUAUUUUAAUAUUUUUUUUAAAAAAUUCCGCUUCACUUCAAAAAAGCGAGCGUUUCGCUUCUCGCUUCACGCUUUAAGCGAAAAGGGGCUUGUCGCUUUUCCUCGCUUCACGCUCCUCACAACACUGGUUCAAUCUAGGUGGAGAAAAGGAGAAUAUUUGUUUUUCUCCUCUGUUUCUUCUAUAGGUACGACAACAUUUUGUUUUUCAAUUCAAAAUGAGAAGAUUAGGAUGCUAUGAAGCAGUUGGGAAGAUGAAGUAAAACAUGAUUCAGAUCUCCUUUUUAUUUACAGAACAGGUAAUGACCUGAGGAAAGUGCGAUUGUUGUUUCUUUCCAGCCCAUUCCAUUUACCGGGAGCCCUGUUGCUGUCCGAAGGGGGGCACCAUCAAUUCUUGAUGCUUGAAAGCAGUUGUUCCAGACAGUUUUCUACACCAUUAUCUAUUCCAACUACUUGAACUUACGCAGGCAUUACGGCCAAAUAUAUAUGAGAAAGUUUGAUUCAUCCCUAUAGAUAUCUUCUCCUUCUGAGUUUUACCACAUGGGGGAAUACAUACCAUAUAAGUUGUACCAGAUAUUCUGUGCUAUGAUACACGUGUUAAUCCU